This 66-nucleotide transfer RNA is filed under the name Loxodonta africana (African savanna elephant). It matches the Rfam family "tRNA". Rfam says of the family: Transfer RNA (tRNA) molecules are approximately 80 nucleotides in length. Lineage: Eukaryota; Metazoa; Chordata; Mammalia; Proboscidea; Elephantidae. The record is from Rfam by way of RNAcentral.
GAAGUGGUGGUUCAAGAAUUUGUGUCUUCCAUGCAGAAGACCCAGGUUAAAUUCCUGGCCAAUGCA